AGGAACGAGGUCCCGGCCACAGGAUCGAUUGUGCGUACGAGUGAGGCCUCCUGCCCUCGAGCGCCCCACGACUCGCACAGCAGGUCGUGAGACGCCACCCUCCAUCCCCUCGCCCCAGAUCCAUCCCUUCGCCACCGCCAGUUCGUCCCUUCGCCGCCCGCCGUUCCAUCCCUCCGCCGCCGAUCCAUCCCUUCGCCGUCGCCCCGCACAUCGAAGCCGCCGCCCUCCAUCGGACGAACGAGCCCGCCUCAAACGCCGAUGAGAAUAAUGCUCCCCUCGAUCUAUUCGCUGUGUUGAGGGGAACCACGCCCCAGCCGCCAUUGCGGAUCUCUUCGACGCCGCUGAGGCCCUACGGGAGCCACCGACGCCUUCAUUGCGGUGCUCUAGGUCGCCGCCGUCGUGGUCCACAAUCCCCGCCGCCGAGGUCCGUAGUCGCCGCCGUCGAGGUCCGAGAGGUGUCGCCGCCACCUUCAUUCCGGACCUGGAGGUCUGCGCCAAUCCCCAGGCCAGGGCGGUUCGUACCCCAGUCCCCAGGGCAAGGCGGUUCAAACCCCAGUCAGAGAGAGCUAGCCAUUAACCAUGGUACAUACAUCUGUUAAGAUCCCGUGCGUGGCUACGGGUAUAAUGAAUGCAACGGGCACAGCGGUUCCAUGCUGGAUCAUGGUGAUGAUGCAGUCGACUCAGCGGGGGAUAGGAGGCUCGCCGGCUGGCGUUUCAUUGAUGCAUGGGUGUUCCAAUCAUGAUGGUACUGUCGGAUAAUGUACAAGACUUUUUUAGAACAAUGUACAAGACUUUGGACGAGGUUCAUCUGCGUCGAUGUUUGUGGCUGGGUCGCUGGGUACACAAUCCAUUCACCGUGUAAGGUUCAGUCAACUCCUUUGAGGUGCUUAACAAGUAACGGAGGUUUUGGUGUCAUCUGUACUCAGGGAAAGGGUGUGAAGACUAUACAUGUCAAAUCCUCAUACGAAAUGUUGAUCUGUUGUGCUUCUAGAAUUAUGGAUUUCCGAAUAAUUAAAUGACCAGUUAUGCAAUACAAUAUUCCCAUAGUAUUGAAAUCUUCUAUUCUGCAAAGUGUCCUUCAGAAAAUGGCACUUGCACUUAAUAUGGGACACUCCAAAUCCAUAUGUGCAGGCUAUAUCUGAUAUUUUCUCCAUACAGAGUCAGCAGCGACUUGAUUUAUAUUUCCGCUACUUGUCAAUACGAUGGCCCGUUGGAAAUAAAUGAGGUUUGGCCAUCACUUAUACUUGGGAACUACUUUUCAGUGAUAGCUGUGUUGACUAAGAGAACUACGGCGGGCUUACGCUUACCUGAAGUAUAUUCAAAACUAUCAGAGUGUACAACAGAUUAGAGCAGAUUACAUCAGCCUUAAAGACUGUUGGCCAUUAACGGUUAUCUAUGGCACUAAAACUUGUUGAUCUCAACACAUUCACCUCACAACACUUGUUGGCUAAAACAUGUGCAUUUAGCGCCAAAGAAGUUGAGGAAUUAAUGAGGUGAUAGGAGUUGUGUGCUGAGGAGAAACUAUUCUCUUGCAAAUUGGAUAGUUGUUGUAGGAAUUAAAAAGGCACAUGAUUGUAUUGUUGUUGUGGGAUUUCGUUUCUACACGUUCCUCGACCCUAAUGUCUACAUGAGGUGUGAGUUCAACGGAUCGUGGAAAUUACAUUACUAAUAGAAAGAUGCCGCAGCAAAAAGAAUGCUCUCAGCCUUGGACGAUUCAUUCACUCGAUUCUUGAAACCAUUACCUUUUCUGAAGUAAGUCUAGCUAGCACGCAAGGUGCCCUCGCAGGUGAAGGUUGCAUGUCUUCUGCUGGGUGUUUUGAUACUUUUCAGUCUCUACUUGAAUGUUGCGUACCUAAUUUCUUAGUGGCCAACAAUCAUGCACUGAUUCUUGCUAGGGGUCCUCGAGGAAACUCAAUAGAUGGCUACAGAUGUUGCUAGGGGUCCUCGAGGAAACCCAAUAGAUGGUUUUUUCCUGAAGGUAUUAAGAUUACCAAGAUUUGGUCAGCUGUUACACCAUCAUAUUUCGGCACCUGAGUUUUGGUAUGUGCCAUGCAUAUAUUUUGGCAGCAAAUGGGCGGGUGCCUGGGUUCUCAAUGUCCUUCCUAAAUGGAAAUCAUAUACAUACAUAUAUGUUUGAUGUCUUGAUAUAAGUGAAAAUAGUUCAUGAUACCAGCCUAAGACUCUUAGUUUCUGUUUCUUUGCUAUCUGACCUUUGCAUUUCCUAGGUAAGCACUGUGUGAGAUCAUACAUUGAUCAUGGUUCUUGAUAGUUGUGUACUUUUCUUGGAUCUUUAGAAGAAUGUUAUCUUGAGAAAAAAAAAGAGAAAUCAGCUGUAUGUAACUUCUGGAAUUUAGUAUGCUGGUGGCAUUCUAAUGUUUAAUAUAUAUCAGGCAUCAUAUGCCAUGUGAAAAGUCAUGUUAAUAUCAUGAUGGGUCGCAUGCAAGUGCAUGUAGCAGCUCAUCUUAUUUUGUUAGAGAUAAUUUGCAUGGUGAUUACCAUAAUGGUGUCAGAUGAACAAAAUACUUAGUGUGACCAUGUUAAAAACUUAAAAUGAUGGUCUAGGUGAAAACUUGCUAUAAAGAUGGGUAGCAUGUCUUUUAAUCAUUUCUGAGGCAUUUCAUGUCUUAACGGGAAAUUGUUUUUCAAGUUCUCCAUUGGUGCGGCGGGGCUUAGAGGGAUGGCCAGGCGGCGGCCAGCAACAGCAGUGGGCGGAGGUCGAGGGGAAGGUGUGGCAGCGAGGCGGCGCGCGAAAGUUUGCAGUACAUUACACAAUUUUGUUUGCUAUUCAGUAACUAAUGCUAAAGUUUAUUCCUACAGCUUCUACAUGAACAACUCCCUGUUUACUAAAGGCAAAAACUCAUCCUUGAGCCAGCUUACUCCUGCAAAUGUGGGCCAACACACAAUUCACUUCAUGCCUUGUUCAUAACAUCAUAUUUCUCAACCUAAUGGCAUCUGCCAAUGAUCUCAAAAGCCGAUGUGUUCAACUUGUGUUUUUGUCGUGUGUUCAUGUAAUGUCAUUUUUGUAGGCUAAUUUCACUUUCGAUGAUCUCACGAUAAAGCGACCAUAGAACGAGAAGGUGAGCUAAAAAUCAUCUUGUUGUUUAUUGUUGCAAAAUUUCCUGUAUGUGUAUCUAUAGCAUAAAAAAGAAAGCGACCAUGAUUAUAAUGUCCUACUAAUGUGCUUAUUGAAUUGAUGAAAUAACUCGAAUGUAUUUCUUUAUACUAAUCUAAUUACUUGGAUUGUUUUUUCCUUCGUUUUAUCUUUACCAUUAAAGUUUGUUUUCUAUCUUUUCUGAUUCAUAAGUUACGUUCAUGCCAAUGGAGAUGGUGAAUACACUCCUAUGGUUGGAUGUAAAACCUGUCGAACAGAUGGCCAAACCCAUUUCCGAAGCAGGCCCAAAAAAAACAUUAUCACUUGUUUUGGAAGCUGCCUAAAGAAAAAACAGCACCGCAGAAACAUAUAUGACUUAAAGCCAAAGGUAACAAUAAAAAUCCUUCUCUGGUUCAUUAAUUGGUUCGCCUAAUCAAAUUGUUGAUUAUGCAACUGAAACCUGCGAGGAAUUAUUAUAAACAUGAUUUGGAUGCAUCAUAUUGGAAGUGGAAUAGGGGCAGGGACGUUGAUCCUUCGUAAUGACCACAGGGACUACUGGAAGGCGCUAUGUUUGGCGAGAAUCUGCUAAUCUAUUUCACUAACGCCGUGCGGGCGUUCUUGAAUUCCGAGUAUGCCGCAACUGGAUUUGACAGAUUGAGGGAUGCAGGAGCGGUUCCGAGUAUGCCGCAACUGGAUUUGAUAGGGUGAGGGAUGCAGGAGCGGUCGAUGACGAGGUGGCUCCAUCUAAGGGUGGCCAGUAUGACGUCCGGGAUAUCGCGCACCUAUAGAGGUAAGCAGAUUGUGUAGAACUGCAGCUUGUUAUGUAUAAUGCUGUUUGAUUUAAUCUGAUGCUAUUUUAGACUUAUGCAACCAAAUCUAUCAGAAAGAGUGCAUGAUAAAUAAAGUUUAUAUAAUGGAAGAGGAAAUCCACCCAGCGAGAGCAUGAUGAAGUAGACCACUCUACUUUUUAAACUGGGAACUUCGAUUGGAAAUUGUUACUGAUUAUUGAAGUCGCAUGGUAAGAUAGCUGAAUAGUACUAUUUCAGUACUGGAAGUUUAUGCAAGUUGGUGCACAGUACCGGAAGUGGUGGUAUGAGUGAAAUGAAGCACACUUCUGAUGGGGAGAAAAAACGACUCGUUCGUAAGGAGACAAUUGAUCUCUUCUGAAUCAAGAGAAGUGAACUAUGAAAUCCCUCCUCAUUCCAAACAAUGAAACUAUGAGGCUGAAAGUACAAAUUUCAUACGACAUGACUGACUUAGAGAAAAAAUGGGCGUAUUUGGAGCCGGAUGAAAAUAUGGGCAGAUUUAGAGCAGUGUGAAGACGGCGCACGCUGGUGUUGCAAUGACCAAAAGUGUCGAAGUGAAAGAAGAGAUGGAAUGACAAUGACACAACCUUGUAGUGUGAUUCUUGUAUGUAUGUUUGAGGUCCGUAGGAAAAAAAUGUAUUAGUGAGAUAAAGUGACGGAGAUAUGCAUCUUAGGCGGAGAUGGAAGCAGAGCCCAAAGAUAAACGAAACAUUAUUAGUUUGUGAAUGAACUCGUGGUGGAAAGAAUGUUUUCAUGUUCAUAUGCCACAUUUUCUUACUAUUUCUACUAAGGUAAGGAGCCUUGUAUAUGCCAUAUUUUUAACAUAUGUAGUAGAGCGAGACAACAAAACAAUGACAUAGAAGCCACAUAAAGAAUCAAGGGGCAGUAGAUUGAGAGUAUGGUUGAUGUAUGGACAAAGAGUGCUAGGGAGAAGUUCAACAGAAAAGAGAGGCUAGAUGGGGUGCAUGGCAUUUGUUGGAACAGAGAGAAGAUACUUGCAUUUGUGUUUUGGUUGAACAUUGCGUGCAAUGUGUUCGUUUGGGGAGGGUAACUUGAGCAUUGUUUACAAAUUUAUUCGUUGGCCCGUGGUAACGCACGGACAGUCUACUAGUACUCUCAUUGCAUCGGGAUUGGUGAGAACUAGUGAUUGGGUUCGGGCCGGGUUGGGCCAGGUCGACAAGGGCCGUCGUGCUUCGGCCGCCCAACCCCAGCAACCGGUCAUAGCUCGCAUCCAAAGAUUUCUAAAAAAAAAAGCUCGCAUCCAAAGAGCACCAGGCGACCACGCACCAACCGUUCCCUCUUCCAUCGCACGCCCCAGAUGCGGCAGAGGUAAGAAUUAACUGUUGUAAUGUCUGUUAUAGAGAUCUCAUGUUAAAUCUGUAUGCAUCACUGUAUACAUAUGAAGUGUUAACUUAAGGUACAUGGGCUUUUAUUUUCUAGAGUUUUCACCGUCUAAUGCAAUCAUCUACAUAUUCCUAAAUUGGAAUGUCCUUUACAAUUAUUACCUGCACUUGUUUGAUCUAAUUGUGAGUGGUGUUAUAUAUGUCCUUUUGUGGAGCAGGAAGGUAUGGUUGCUUGAUAAAUUGGUAGAUAGCGCAAUGUCAUUGAAGUUUUAGAGUAAUGAUUAACACUUAACAAACUAACUUGUCCUGUAAAUUAGCUGUGAGUUACAGAUUUAUUAUACAAAUUAGUAGCUAGGCAUUGAUCUUAGUUGUUUUGUGUAUAUUAUUAUAAUCUGUGCCUUGUUUCUUCUGCUCUCUCUAGAAAAUUUUGUUAACACUAUAUUAAUGGUUUAGUUUGAUAUUUCAGGGCUCUAUAAAUAUCUUGAUGGCUACUCUGGUAAAGAGACAGACAAAAUCAAUAAGAUUCUCGUUAAGACUGUACUGUGUGUUGACGACAAAAUUGCUGAAAUCUUGGCGGCGGGGUGGUACUGCCCUCCGCGUCCCAAUGUUUUUGAUGAUCUUCCGAGGUUAAAUUGAUGGUUCUCUUCUUGAAUGCUGUUAAAGAAUGAUAAUCCAAAGUAUUUCUAGUUACCAUCUUUGUUACUGGUCCUCUUCCUCGAAUGCUGUUAAAGAAUGAUAAUCCAAAGUCUUUCUAGUUGCUAUCUUUGUUGCUGGUCCUCUUCCUCGAAUGCUGUUAAAGAAUGAUAAUCCAAAGUAUUUCUAGUUAGUAUCUUUGUUACUGACGCUGCUACUACAGAAUAUUGCUCAGAAGUCUUGCUGAUGCUGCUUGUAUGGAAUGCCACCGUGUAGAUGCUGCUCGUAUGGAAUGCCACCGUGUAGAAGCUGCUCGUAUGGAAUGCCGCUGUGUAGAUGCUGGUCGUAUGGAAUGCCGCCGUGUAGAUGCUGCUGCAGAAUCAUACUUGUGAAAUCGUUGUGAAUAUUAUGAUGUUACUGGACAAAUAUUGUUUAGGUUCUUACUGCUACCGCUUGAACAGCUUAUUGUCAGCUUGAGCACAUUGCUGUAUUACAUUGUUUUCGGUGAAACAUGUGGGGUGGUAUGCUACCUCGUCAUUAGUUUUAUUGAUAUGCCACUUGCAUUUUGUAGUUCAAUAACAGCAAUGGAAAUUUCAUGAAAUCUACUUUUGUGA
Triticum aestivum (bread wheat) is the source of this 6487-nucleotide long non-coding RNA. RefSeq lists it as uncharacterized. The record is from RefSeq and is a predicted model, not a curated record. NCBI's taxonomy places the organism in Eukaryota, Viridiplantae, Streptophyta, Magnoliopsida, Poales, Poaceae. The transcript is spliced from 13 exons.